AUUGAACGCUGGCGGCAGGCCUAACACAUGCAAGUCGAACGAUUGGCGGAUGGGUGAGUAAUGCCUGGGAAACUGCCUGAUGUAGGGGGAUAACUACUGGACACGGUAGCUAAUACCGCAUACCAUCAGAUGUGCCCAGAUGGGAUUAGCUAGUAGGUGGGGUAAAGGCUCACCUAGGCGACGAUCCCUAGCUGGUCUGAGAGGAUGACCAGCCACACUGGAACUGAGACACGGUCUAAACUCCUACGGAAGGCAGCAGGGGGGAAUAGUGCACAAUGGACGAAAGCAUGAAGCAGCCAUGCCGCGUGUAUGAAGAAGGCAUUCGGGUUGUAAAGUACUUUCAGCGGGGAGGCGUUACCCGCAGAAGAAGCACCGGCUAACUCCGUGCCAGCAGCCGCGGUAAUUC
Molecule: ribosomal RNA, 406 nt
Filed under: uncultured bacterium
Lineage: Bacteria
Description: partial 16S ribosomal RNA
Rfam family: Bacterial small subunit ribosomal RNA
Source: RNAcentral